RNAcentral lists this long non-coding RNA (307 nucleotides) under Daucus carota (carrot). RNAcentral describes it as "long non-coding RNA (DCAR_LNC004822)". The record is from RNAcentral. Lineage: Eukaryota; Viridiplantae; Streptophyta; Magnoliopsida; Apiales; Apiaceae.
GUUUGUAGACACUUAAAGUGACACACAUUUGUGUGCCUAUAGCUUCUCAUGUGACAUGGAUAGAGCAGAGAGAAAGAGAGAUACAAUUGGCAAUGAUAUGAAGAAGCUGUUGGCCAUAUCGUCGGAGCAGGCUAAUUACAAGCAUGAUGCAUUUGCACAUUACUCGGACCUAGGUGCGCAACUUCCUUAAUUUCCUGCAUUCUAUUUCGAUACAUAGGUUGCUUAUAAGCCUUGAUUUUUUGAUUUGAGUAUAUAUAUAUGUAUGUUCACCUCCGGGCUCCGGUCCUCCAGUAAGGCUCCAUUUGGG